CCUACGGGAGACAGCAGUGGGGGAUAUUGCACAAUGGGGGAAACCCUGAUGCAGCGACGCCGCGUGGGUGAAGAAGCGCCUCGGCGCGUAAAGCCCUGUCAGCAGGGAAGAAAAUGACGGUACCUGACUAAGAAGCCCCGGCUAACUACGUGCCAGCAGCCGCGGUAAUACGUAGGGGGCAAGCGUUAUCCGGAUUUACUGGGUGUAAAGGGGGCGCAGACGGCGAUGCAAGCCAGGAGUGAAAGCCCGGGGCCCAACCCCGGGACUGCUCUUGGAACUGCGUGGCUGGAGUGCAGGAGGGGCAGGCGGAAUUCCUGGUGUAGCGGUGAAAUGCGUAGAUAUCAGGAGGAACACCGGUGGCGAAGGCGGCCUACUGGACUGCAACUGACGUUGAGGCCCGAAAGCGUGGGGAGCAAACAGGAUUAGAUACCCCUGUAGUC
This 440-nucleotide ribosomal RNA is filed under the name uncultured bacterium. Its description in RNAcentral is "partial 16S ribosomal RNA". It matches the Rfam family "Bacterial small subunit ribosomal RNA", at positions 338 to 795 of the family's 1533-position model. The record is from RNAcentral.